RNAcentral lists this transfer RNA (48 nucleotides) under Metacrangonyx ilvanus. RNAcentral describes it as "transfer RNA Serine". Lineage: Eukaryota; Metazoa; Arthropoda; Malacostraca; Amphipoda; Metacrangonyctidae. The record is from RNAcentral.
AGAUAUAUAAAGAACUUCUAAUUCUUAAAAAGCUAAAAGCUAUAUCUA